This is an RNA transcript of Tachysurus fulvidraco (yellow catfish), 4108 nucleotides long. It is a transcript of the gene named orofacial cleft 1 candidate 1, with no coding region annotated. NCBI's taxonomy places the organism in Eukaryota, Metazoa, Chordata, Actinopteri, Siluriformes, Bagridae. The transcript has 21 exons. The record is from RefSeq and is a predicted model, not a curated record.
UGAAAAUACAUUGUGUGAAACUGAAUUUAUAAAAUCAGAAAAUACAUUCAUUUUAAGAAAUUAAUAAUAAUAAAAUGAUAAUACUCCUUUUAAUGCAGUCUGGGAGAAAGGUGAUGAUAAAAGGUUGCUUCAACUUGUGCACGGUUGAAAUUAAAUGUGCAUAUGAAUUAACAACAGAAGCUAACAUUAUGUUUAGCAGAUAAACAGCCGAACCACAAUGCAGUCGGUCUGAAAGUGUAAUAGAUGCCCACAGCUCGAAUAGCAGAGUACAGAAGAGUGCGGCCUCGCGCAUGCAUUACGUUUCUCCGCACGUGUGCACAAAAGAUGGCUUUCCAGACUCGCGCCCUAUCUGUUGUCAUAGCUACUCGGUUUGUUUAGUGUCUGUGGAACUAUGAAAAAAAGUUUCAUUGGAUCCUCACCGUCCAGGAAUCGCCUGCAGCAAUAACGGGCUCGAGACUCACAGGCCCGGGGAUAUUCGCUUAGGCAACGAGGUGAACUGAUCUUCUUUCGGGUAGCUAUGAAAUUCCAGCCUUCAGCUCUGCUGCAGAGGUAACAAAAGAUGUCAGGCAAAUAUUUCAGCUGCCACAAUAGCGAGAAGCUCUUUUUAUGGAGAAUGAAAACAGAACGCCCUCCUGCCCAGGAUUAACAGCUGAGCGAACCUGACUGAAACGAAGUUGGAGCAGAAGGCUCUGAAGCAAGCUAAGCAGAAGAAAUCUAAGUCGGCUGAAUUUCUGAUGGCCAAAGAGCAGGAGCAGGAGGAAGAGGAGGGGGUGAUGAUGAAGGGCAUUGUAAAUCCUGGGUUCCUGAGUGGAGAGGAGGAGGAUGAGCAGAGCUGUUGCAGACAGAGGGAUGGGGGGAGAGAAAUAGGAGGUGACGGGCAGGAUAGCACUCUUGCCGCUCACCAACAGCAAAAGGACCUGGAAGCCCUUGUAAGCACAAGAGGAAAUGAAGGUGCUCGAAAUUACUUUGACCCCUGGGCGACAGUGGAGGGUGACCUGAGGCAGCACGGGAUGUUCAGGGUUGGCGCGGGAGAUGAGCUAGAAUUAAAAUUCAUGCAUGAGGACGAACGGGGACUGUAUGAGAAACUGUCUCAGAUACUGAAUGAAGAUGAAGUUUCGACUGUAAUAGAUUUACCUGGUAGUUUUAUGGAAGAAAGACCAGUGGCUGUGGCUCCGAGAGUCCCACAGGCUGGAUGGAGAGAUCAUUUGAGGGAGAAGUUGGAGAAGAGAGAACAGGUUAUACCCCACUAUGUGGAACAACUGAGAGAACAUGUGCAGGAUGACAUGAUCCCAGUGGGCAGGGCUUCACUGGAGCAGGAUGAAUGCACGGCGGAGGAGAAGGAGUGCACGAGAAAACGGAGAGUGAUGGCUGUCUUAAGGGGGAAUACAAAGGAGUCGUUUUCCGUACGAGACUUGAAACAAGAGGAAGCUGCACUGCAGGAUCGGCUUUAUGCGGCUUUUCAGCGUUCAGAGAGACGUUUGCUGAAAUCACUGCGUCAGCGUCAGGCUGAAGUCAUUGCCCAGUAUGGAGAAAUCACUGACAUCACUGAGCCAUUGGGCAUCGGAUCUGACCUUCCCUGGCAGGUGGAGUGGACACGCACCCCACAGCCCAUGGAAGUGCGUGUGGUGUGUUUACGGGCAGUGAGGGAGAAGCUCAGCAGGGGGCUGUACAGUGUGUGUGUGUCCCUGCAGAGUGGGCUGAGUGGCCCUGCGCUGCGCUGGUCUCGCCUGAAGGAGCAGCAGUGGACGAGAGUCACAGAGCCAGUGGAACAUCAUGGCAGAAUCUGUGACAUGGAGCUACUCAUUAACCAGAACCUCCAUGUGGUCUUGCCUGCAUCAUGUGACCUCUUACCCUCCAGUGUGCUGAUGUUCAAGCUUCUGAGCAUGCCCAGUAAGCAAUGUGCUGUGAGUGCAGUGGUGGCCUGGGGGGUAUUCCCCGUGUGUGACUGCUCUCUAACCCUUAUCCAAGGUAGAUUUCGCACUCCACUGCUUCGGGGUUGUCCCAACUCAGCGAUAGACCAGUUCAGUAAAAUAGAGCGGCUGCUCUCUGCUGACUUGGACAACUGGCUCUGCAACCUUUACUUCCAGGUAAGGAAACUCCAGCAAAGCGAUCGAAUAGUUCCAGAGUGCAAUGCCACCGAAGGCACAAAUGAAGAGCCUCGUCCUGAUAUAUCCACCUCUACCUGCUCCUCUAACUCUCUAGCAGGUAAGAGUCCAGCUGAACUUCUCCCCGUCUUAGAGCCGACGUCAGAGAAAACUAAACCUGGAACGCAAGCCAAGGGUGGCAAACAGAACCAGCCAUUCCACAAGAUAACCAGCCAAAGUUGCUGUGAGGGAGAGAGAGAGGUACGGCGAGAGAGUAUCAUCACAGAAGAACUUCAACACUUCUCCUUCUCCAUACAAUCUCAGCGAGCUGCUCCACUCUAUAAUAUUGUUUGCUGUGGUCCAGCAGAGCGGUUGCGCAUUGUAUGGCGUAUGCUUCCCACAGAGCUUGGAUUAUCUGGAAUCCCUCGGCCCAGUUUUGGCCAGCUCACACUCCUCCUCACCCUCAUCCUCUUCACUUGGUUUCCCCGCCUUUACCUGCACUACUGCAGCCAGUGGCUCUACCUUCAUGUUCGAAACGUUCCUGUCAACAGGUUUUGCUUCCAUGCCCACACAGUGGAUUUAGUAUAUCAGAGCUCUCUCCUGCUCACCCUGGAGGAACUGCUGCUGGUGUUGUUGGGGCCCUUGACCUUGAAUGCAGCUAUGUUUCUGUUGCUUCUGAUCAGAUGGCUCUGUCAGCUAGUGUUUGGCUCAACUCCUUCCUUCCUGUCAAAGCUGAUCAUGGCUCUGGGAGUGUGGACAGUGCUUGACCCUCUGGCGGUCUUCACUGUAGACGCUGUCCUUGGGCGUCUGUCUUACAGUGCAGAAAAGCCAGUGGCUGAUGCCGCUAAGCUUUACUGGCACUUCCAUCGCUUGCAGCAGUCAGGCACAGCCGGAAUUCUCAUCACCCUUUUCCUGUACAUCGUCCUCUUCUUUCUCUCCUUCACCAUGCUCUACAUGUACUUUCUCAGGUCCCAUAAUGAUGGCAGAAUCCUGGAUGUGUACCUUCGUCUCCACAGUCCAGAGAGGGCAUUUUUUAUCCCAGAUGAUUUAGAAGUGUCCAAUCAGGAGCUUAGUUACAUUGUAAAAAAUGCGGAGCAAUGGAGAGGUUUCAAUGGCGAGAGACGAAAGGCUGUGGGUGUGCUGUGUGUCGUGCCAGGGUCAGAAUUGGUUGAGUAAUCUGGCAACUUGAUCCCCUACAUUCCUGCCCCAGCGAGUACGGAUCAUCAGUAAAGCUGAAGAAGAGUGGCUAAAUUAAAGAGGAUUACUGUCAACUGGUAUGGGAUUUGAUUCAUCUCAAAAGUGCUGAACUGUUGUCAAAGGUACAGGCAGGUAAUUGCAUCAAAGUGAGCAUUUGUGCAGGUAUGUGGCACUAAAACCCUUCUCACCUCUACCCUUUGUUUGAAUGUGUGCAUACCUACCAGAAUGUAUGCACUACAGAGACGUUUUCUCACUACUUAGCUUUUCAUUUUUAGCUGGGCCUGAUUUCCUGUAAGCACCUACCUACAUGUAGACAUAACACUGUUGGGUGGAGAAGUUGAUGAUGGUGACCUCUUUCUCCUCCUGCCGUCUACAGUCUCUCCUCGCUGACUUUUCAACUAGCUAAUCUAGUGCUGUUUGAUCAUAGCUGUGUCUUUGAGUAGUUUCUAAUGAGUUGGGGGAUGGGGGAAUCUCUCACUAGGUGGCAGUGUAUGAUUACAUCUGGACCCAGGAGGUGUCUGGAGGGUGCGAAUCCCCUGGGGCUAUAGCCACAGAAGUGGGUGAGACGAGCACCCAUGUUUCCAUCUACACGCUAUACCUGAGCGGCCUUCGUCAGUGCUACAGACACUUCCUCAGGCAGCCCACUGGAGCCAUUGUAGAGCUCAUCGGGGAUUUGGACGGUGCCGCUGCUCAUCAGAACGUCCACUAUCAGAAGAAAGGGCAGAAUGAUGUUGAUAGGAGGAUGAAGAACUCAACAAAUACACUUAGAGAGAGGAAGAGCAAGAAUCCUACAUGGCGUUGUAACAGGGUUGGACCUCUCAGUGGGA